AUAUUUUUUCCGACUAAAAAAGGUUUGUCUGUGUCAACAAUUAUUUUAAUAAUUAUCUCAAAUCAAUAUCAAUUUGUGAAUCAUAUUUAUCUACAAAUUUAAAUUUUUAAAUUGUAAAUUUAUAUGUUAUAUUUUAUUGAAAAAAUAUCUCAUAUUUCAAAUAUUAAUAGGUAAAAUUGAGAUAAUUUUUAUAUAUUCACCUUUUAAAAUAUAUGAUUAAAUAUUAUAUAUGCGGAAGGUAUUAUGUGAUUGGAUAUUAUAUUGGUGGUGGAUAUUAUGUGUGAGAAAUAAAAUAUUUAGAAAUGUGAAUAUUAUUUGUUAUAAAAUAUGAUAUUAUGUGGGCGGCGGUUAUUAGAAGAUAUGACAUGCAUAUAAAAAGUGAAAUUUGAUAGGUACUAUUUGAGGGCAAUGUAAAAAAAGUGACAGAUGCUUAAUUCGUCAGUCAUUGGAUUAGAUCUAAUGACUAAGAAUUAAUAUAUUUUAUGAUAAUUUAAAAAUAAAAUAAAAAUUGUAUGACUUUGAUUUAUUCCAUUAAAGUUGAAUGAAUGAUAUUAUUAAUAUGUGAUUGAAAUUAUAUUAAUAGGGACCGGCAUUUUGGGAAAGAGGAAAAAAUUCAAAACUCACGCUUUUAUAAGUAGUAUAUAUAUAUAUAUAUAUAUCGUAUUUAACUUCAGAUCAGGUUCAGGUCUGGAUACUUAAGUUAAUAAUAUACCUAUUAGAUUUGUUUGAGCGAGUCUGGGUAGUGAGUAUCCGUAUACUACCCGCUUAAUACCGGGUACGGAUUAGGUCUAAAUUGGGUACAUGUACUGGUAUGCAUAUACUUUUUAUAGAUUUUAUUAAAUAGUUUAUGAAAAACCAUAAACAUCUCACUAUA
RNAcentral lists this long non-coding RNA (874 nucleotides) under Ananas comosus (pineapple). RNAcentral describes it as "long non-coding RNA (ACOM_LNC022503)". The record is from RNAcentral. Lineage: Eukaryota; Viridiplantae; Streptophyta; Magnoliopsida; Poales; Bromeliaceae.